Molecule: ribosomal RNA, 1332 nt
Filed under: Arcoscalpellum africanum
Lineage: Eukaryota; Metazoa; Arthropoda; Thecostraca; Scalpellidae
Description: SSU rRNA
Rfam family: Eukaryotic small subunit ribosomal RNA
Source: RNAcentral
UAAAUACCUUACAGAGGUCUCGUUAACCGAGAUCUCUCAAACGGAAUGAGUACAACGUGAAUCCUUUAACGAGGAUCAACUGGAGGGCAAGCCUGGUGCCAGCAGCCGCGGUAAUUCCAGCUCCAGUAGCGUAUAUUAAAGCUGUUGCGGUUAAAAAGCUCGUAGUUGGAUAUCAGUGCGUGUCCGGUCCGGUAUGCCCGGUACCGAUGCGGCAACGCGUCGGCCGCCGGGCUCCCAAAUAUCGGCUGGCCGCAUUCAAUCGUGCCGGACCCGUCGACGGGCCGUUCUUCGGAGGGGCCUGUUGGCGACCGGCGACGUUACCUUGAACAAAUUAGAGUGCUCAAAGCAGGCUCUGAAUGCCUGUAUACAUAUUCAUGGAAUUGGAGAAUACGUCCCUGGCUCGAUUUGGUUGGUUUUGAGAGUCGAAGGGAAAUGAUUAAUAGGGACUGACGGAGGCAUUCGUAUUGCGACGCGAGGGGUGAAAUCCUGUGACCGUCGCACGACGAACUACUGCGAAAGCAUUUGCCGAGAAUGUUUUCAUUAGUCAAGAACGAAAGUUAGAGGUUCGAAGGCGAUCAGAUACCGCCCUAGUUCUAACCGUAAACGAUGUCGACCAGCAAUCCGCAACGGUCACUACACGGACUGUGCGGGCAGCUUUCCCGGAGAAAUCAGAGUGUUCGGACUCCGGGGGGAGUAUGGUUGCAAAGGCAAAACUUAAAGGAAUUGACGGAAGGGCACCACCAGGAGUGGAGCUUGCGGCUUAAUUUGACUCAACACGGGACAACUCACCAGGCCCGGACACCGUAAGGAUUGACAGACUGAUAGCUCUCUCUUGAUUCAGUGGGUGGUGGUGCAUGGCCGUUCUUAGUUGGUGGAGUGAUUUGUCUGGUUUAUUCCGAUAACGAACGAGACUCUGGCCUAUUAAACUUGAUGGCGUCAGUCAUUAUGUGACUGCGUCAUGCUUCUUAGAGGGAUCAUCGGCGUCCCAGCCGAAGGAAAGGGAGCAAUAACAGGUCUGUGAUGCCCUUAGAUGUUCUGGGCUGCACGCGUGUUACACUGAAGUGGUCAGCGCGCCGUUUCACGUCCCUCUCCGUGAGGAGCGGGCAAACGUUUGAACCCUUUUCGUGAUGGGAAUUGGGGGUUGCAAUUGUCCCCCAUGAACGAGGAAUUCCAAGUAAGCGCAGGUCACUAGCCUGCGUUGAUUAAGUCCCUGCCCUUUGUACACACCGCCCGUCGCUACUACCGAUGGAUGAUUUGGUGAGGUCGCCUAGACUGGCCGCUGGCUUCGGCCGUGCGGCCGGGAAGACGCCCAAACUUGGUCGUCUAGAGGAA